GACGAACGCUGGCGGCGUGCUUAACACAUGCAAGUCGAACGGAAAGGCCCGGCUCUUGUGGCGCUCUCGAGUGGCGAACGGGUGAGUAACACGCGAGUAACCUGCCCUUGUCUUUGGGAGAACUUCAGGAAACUCGGGCGAAUAUCGGAGAGGAUCUCCUGCUGCAUGGGGUGGGUUGGAAAGAUUCGGCGGUUGGGGAUGGUCUCGCGGCUUAUGAGCCUGUUUGUGGGGUUGUGGCUUACCAAGGUUUUGACGGGUAGCCGGCCUGAGAGGGUGACCGGCCACAUUGGGACUGCGAUACGGCCCAGACUCCUACGGGCGGCAGCAGUGGAGAAUAUUGCACAGUGGGCGGAAGCCUGAUGCAGCAACGCCGCGUGCGGGAUGACGUGCUUCGGGUUGUAAACCGCUUUCGCCUGUGCCGAGGCGUGAUUGACGGUAAUGGGUAAAGAAGCCCCGGCUAACUACGUG
This 468-nucleotide ribosomal RNA is filed under the name uncultured bacterium. Its description in RNAcentral is "partial 16S ribosomal RNA". It matches the Rfam family "Bacterial small subunit ribosomal RNA", at positions 28 to 507 of the family's 1533-position model. The record is from RNAcentral.